RNAcentral lists this long non-coding RNA (381 nucleotides) under Manacus vitellinus (golden-collared manakin). Its description in RNAcentral is "lncRNA (ENSMVIG00005010017.1)". Lineage: Eukaryota; Metazoa; Chordata; Aves; Passeriformes; Pipridae. The record is from RNAcentral.
CAUUACCUAGCUGUACUGCAUAGGCAUUUGUUAUCCCUUUCUAGUAAUACAUUAGGACUUCUGAAUUUACAUACUGGUAAAUUACAAGAAAUUGUUAUGGUAAAUAAAUUGUUACUGUAAGUGAAUGGUGACAUUUUCUGGUUUUUGAUCUUUGUAAUAAUAUUUCUUUCCAGAGUGAUACAAGACUACUAGAAGUACUUGGGACCCCUGGACUUAAAGGCCAGAAGGGAGAUGUUGGUCAGAAAGGAGAAUUGGGAAUGACAGGCGCGAAAGGAGAAAAGGGAGAGCCUUCUGAAAAAGGGGACAAGGGAGAUCCAGUAAGUAUAGCAUGUUUUGAACUGAUGUGAAUAAUUUACAUUCAAGAUUAUUUCCAUACUAUAU